This 474-nucleotide ribosomal RNA is filed under the name uncultured bacterium. Its description in RNAcentral is "partial 23S ribosomal RNA". The stretch from base 59 to 474 matches the Rfam family "Bacterial large subunit ribosomal RNA", at positions 1315 to 1817 of the family's 2925-position model. The record is from RNAcentral.
AAAGUAUGAAUGUUGGAGUUAGUAACUUAUAUCAAUGUAUAUAUUGAUAAUGAAAAUUAUCAAUAUAAAUCAUUGACGCCGAAAACUAAGGGUUUCAUUAUAGAGUUAAUAAUAAUGAGUUAAUCGGACUCUAAGAUAAAGGUAAAUACCGUAAUUGAUGAGCAAACUUUUUAAUAUUAAAGUAUUGAUUUAUGUAAAAUGAAAGAAUUAAAAAAAGACAAAUAUUUUUAUUUUUUUCUUUAUUUUUUUAGUAAAAAAAUUUUAAAAAAUAUUUCGUAGAAAAUAUUUUUUGUAGAAUAUCUAUAUAAAUGACAACCGUACUUAUAACCGACUCAGUAGUUAUGUAGAGAAUACUAAGGCGAGAGUAUCAAAAAAGUACUAAGGAACUCGGCAAAAUAGACCCUGUAACUUCGGGAGAAAGGGUGCUUCUUUUAUUAUAGGGAGGCUUUAUUAAUUUUAAUAAUAAUAAUUACU